Molecule: ribosomal RNA, 252 nt
Filed under: uncultured bacterium
Lineage: Bacteria
Description: partial 16S ribosomal RNA
Rfam family: Bacterial small subunit ribosomal RNA
Source: RNAcentral
UACGUAGGGGGCAAGCGUUGUCCGGAUUUAUUGGGCGUAAAGAGCGUGUAGGCGGCUAGAUAGGUCCGUUGUGAAAACUCGAGGCUCAACCUCGAGACGUCGAUGGAAACCAUCUGGCUAGAGUCCGGAAGAGGAGAGUGGAAUUCCUGGUGUAGCGGUGAAAUGCGCAGAUAUCAGGAAGAACACCCGUGGCGAAGGCGGCUCUCUGGUACGUGACUGACGCUGAGACGCGAAAGCGUGGGGAGCAAAAGG